CCAAGGAAGGCAGCAGGCGCGCAAAUUACCCACUCCCGGCACGGGGAGGUAGUGACGAAAAAUAACAAUACGGGACUCUUUUGAGACCCCGUAAUUGGAAUGAGCACACUCUAAAGCCUUUAGCGACGAACUAUUGGAGGUAAAGUCUGGUGCCAGCAUCCGCGGUAACUCCAGCUCCAAUAGCGUAUAUUAAAGUUGUUGCGGUUAAAAAGCUCGUAGUUGGAUCUCAGUUUGCUCGGGCGCGGUCCGGCGCGAGCCGGCCACUGCGCUCGGGCGACCGACCGCCGGUUUCCGGGGAUGAUCUUCACCGGUUGUCCUCGGUGACCGGCAAGUUUACUUUGAAAAAAUUAGAGUGCUCAAAGCAGGCCUUAAUUAGCCUGAAUAAUGGUGCAUGGAAUAAUGGAAUAGGACCUCGGUUCUAUUUUGUUGGUUUUUAGGAACGCGAGGUAAUGAUUAAGAGGGACAGACGGGGGCAUUCGUAUUGCGACGCUAGAGGUGAAAUUCUUGGACCGCCGCACGACGAACUACUGCGAAAGCAUUUGCCAAGAAUGUUUCCAUUAAUCAAGAACGAAAGUCAGAGGUUCGAAGGCGAUCAGAUACCGCCCUAGUUCUGACCAUAAACGAUGCCAGCCAGCGAUCCGGCUGCGUUCCUCAAAUGACGCGCCGGGCAGCUUCCGGGAAACCAAAGCUUUUGGGUUCCGGGGGGAGUAUGGUUGCAAAACUCAAACUUAAAGGAAUUGACGGAAGCGCACACAAGAAAUGGGGCCUGCGGCUUAAUUUGACUCAACACGGUGCAACUCACCCGACCCGGACACAGGAAGGAUUGACAGAU
RNAcentral lists this ribosomal RNA (832 nucleotides) under Tetragnatha josephi. RNAcentral's name for it is "SSU rRNA". It matches the Rfam family "Eukaryotic small subunit ribosomal RNA", at positions 416 to 1248 of the family's 1831-position model. Lineage: Eukaryota; Metazoa; Arthropoda; Arachnida; Araneae; Tetragnathidae. The record is from RNAcentral.